Molecule: long non-coding RNA, 266 nt
Filed under: Cricetulus griseus (Chinese hamster)
Lineage: Eukaryota; Metazoa; Chordata; Mammalia; Rodentia; Cricetidae
Description: lncRNA (ENSCGRG00000024783.1)
Source: RNAcentral
CUUGGAGAUGCUACUUGCUGGCAGAAUGGAGGUGAUGUGUGGUUUCAGAGACGAGCUUAGGCUGAGCGCUGUGCUUGAAACUGUUGGCUCUCUGCUAGGCUCACCGGUGGAAGGCAGGGAAGGAUGGCUUUCUCUUCCGAGAGAAGAUCUCAUUCCACAGAGGAAGGAGAGUACUAGAUGACCUCUGACCUAUGGGGCCUGCCUCCACACCAGCGGAAGAUGAAGCCUGUCACUUGAUCCCUGACCACUCAUGAUGCAAUGCAGGG